AGCUUCUCUAUACAGGCAUGGCGGCAACAAAGCAAGCCCCCGAAAACGGAUCCCUUCCCCCUCUUCCUCACUGCUAGAUCUACCCUGAGUGCACGGCACCCACUGGAUCUAGCUCAUGGAGGAAGGGGGCAACCAGCUAGGAGGGAGGCUAUCGGGAAGGAAGCUGACCAGCGUGGACUUCUCGACCUCCUUUUUCUAGGCGCGUUGCCGAUGGUGAUGGAGGGGCAACCUACGAAGCUUCUAGAUCUAGAGCUUUCAUUGACGGCGACAUGAUCGUGAGCCA
Molecule: long non-coding RNA, 283 nt
Filed under: Oryza sativa Indica Group (long-grained rice)
Lineage: Eukaryota; Viridiplantae; Streptophyta; Magnoliopsida; Poales; Poaceae
Description: lncRNA OsIR64_03g0024830
Source: RNAcentral